This 736-nucleotide non-coding RNA is filed under the name Tritonia tetraquetra. Lineage: Eukaryota; Metazoa; Mollusca; Gastropoda; Nudibranchia; Tritoniidae. The record is from RNAcentral.
AACUUUGUCAUGAUUAAUUUAUAGCUAAGGCCAAGCUUUAGUAUGGUGAUUAAUGUAAAUUAGGAUAAAAGAUUUAAUCCACCUAGAUUUAACCCAGCAAGAAACCUUAAACAAUAUUAGAAAUAAUAAUUUAAUUAGCGUCUAUAGGUUCGACUAACUAGGUGCCAGCAGUCGCGGUCACACCUGGGAAUCAAGCUAUAAACUUUAGGCCGGCUUCAAUACGAAUUUUCAUAAUUAGGUAAAAUUUUUAUGAUUUUUAAGUUUAAGAAAAAGAAAGCCUAAACUCUAGCAAUAAACCAGGAUUAGAUGCCCUGCUAUACAGAGCCAAAAUUGAAUGCUUAAGCACUAAGACUUUAUAGUUAAAACUUAAAUGACAUGGCGGCAGCUUCAAAUUUCAAGGGAACUUACCAGGUAAAUGAUAAUCCACAAGAAACCCUACUUCUUCUAAAAAGUUUGUAUAUCACCGUCUUCAGAGCCCGCCUGAGAUGGACUCAAAAUGUUUAAUUUGACAAAAAGACAGGUCAACAUGCAACCAAUGAAGAAGCCAAUAAGGCGAGUUACAAUGAUUUUUAAUCUUGGAAUUUUUUUGAAAAUGAAAAAAGAAAACCGGACUUGAAAGUAGGGCUUAUUUAUGAAUAUGGUUUGAAUGUUCAAAAAGCUGUGCACAAAUCGCCCGUCGCUCUCGUUGGAAAAGGAGAUAAGUCGUAACACAGUAAGCGUACCGGAAGGUGCGCUU